This is a non-coding RNA of Manis javanica (Malayan pangolin), 1356 nucleotides long. The record is from RefSeq and is a predicted model, not a curated record. NCBI's taxonomy places the organism in Eukaryota, Metazoa, Chordata, Mammalia, Pholidota, Manidae.
CUCACGGGCCUCGAUGCGGCCUGCCUCCCGCCGCAGCUGCUCCACGCGGGCCUUGGCCAGGCACAGAUAAGCCUGUAGGUGAGGCCGGGUCACCGUCAGCCGCAGCAGGCACAGCGCCACCAGCACCCAGAGCCGUAACGAGUCGAAGGCCGAGUCCGACAGCCUGUGCGAAGUUGAUUACAAUAGGUAAAUGUCAAAUCACUGCAGCUGCUGAGUAGAGGACAGACUGGAGGGUGUGCCCGCAUGGAGACCUGCAGCCACAGGUGACCAUCAGAGAUGGCCCAGCUCCAGGGUCUCCUCUCGCACCACCUGAACCAGCAUGGCCAGGAGCAGGAAGAGGAAGGCGAAGGUGAGGCAGACGGAGCGCUCGCCCCCCUCCUCCGCGCUGAAGUACAACCAGGUCACCGUCAGGAACACCUUGCUGGGGGUGGGGCUAAGGAGGUCUUGAACACCUGUAGCACCCCCCAACCCUCUGCCGCCUCCUCCCAGCAGCCUCCCAGCCCCAGAGCACAAGCAUCGGUGUCUGGGUUUGGAGACUCAGCGAGCAGAGGAGUGAUCAAGGAGAGUGAGCCGUUCAUCAAGGCCAGGAUCUAAGGCCCAGGACUGCCCGCUCCUGUGGCAGCAGCGUGCGGUGUGCUGGUGGCAGGACACCUGGGCCAGGCCUCCAGCUUCGCCUCAUCACCCCACCUGUGACCAGUUAGAGAUGGCCACCAAGUCUGUCUUUUCAGGAGGUCCCACCACCCCAACCCGCCUAGGCACCCCCCAGCUGCAUCCCCCAGCAUGCAGUUUUCCUGUUCUUCUGAGAAGCUAUCAGAUACACGAGGACUGCAUCUGUGAUCUGUCCUCAGAGAGACCCUUGGGGCUUUCAGGAACCAGUGUGAACUUCAAGAUGGGCUUCCCUUUCUCACAAGCCUAUUCCACAAGGACACUGUUUCCAGCUUUUGGUUCUCAGAGUCAUAGGUCUGCCUUGGCCCUCCAUGCAGCUGAAUAAAAAUAUUGCAGAGAGCUCUCUUUGCAUACCCUUGUGUCUGGGCUGGCCCCGUGCCUUGCUUUGACCAAGAGAAUGGACAAGGACAGGGGUGGGCUGAGUUGGGCAAAGUCUCAGGCGGCCUGCAACAACCCCUCUUCCUUGCUAGCACCCCUGCUGUGAUGAGGAAGCUUGGCCCAGCCUGCUGGAAGGCAGGGCCACUUGGAGAUGAGGUGGCCCAGCUGAGCCCAGCCAUGAAAACAAUAGUGGAAGUUUUGAACUCUGGGGAGGUUUGUAGCACAGCAGCUGAUAACCGAUGCACCAAUUUAGGGCAGUCAGGGAAGCUGGAGUCUGGGUCCCACCUCCCUCUCACCUCCUCCGCGCAGGGA